UUCACGCUAAAUAUAUAUUAGAAUAUAUCAUAUGUGUAUAUAUUAUGUUAUUUUAUCUUAUUUGAAAUAUAGUAACACCUUUGGAUUAGAUAGUAUAUAUAUAUAUGUUUCCGUGAUUAAAAAAGUGUCCAAUAAAUUGUGAAAACAUAACCAUGUAUUUAAUCUUCAACCGUGCAGUGUAUAACAUAGCACCAUUUUUAUAUUCAUUAAAAGAAGUAAAUAAAAUAUUUUUUCUAACUUUUAAUUCAAAAAUAUAUAAUAAACAUUAUACUUGUUAUAGUCAAUCACAUGAAAAACAGCAAAGUGGUGCAUGGAAGGUAUUAUUUUUUGGCACAGAUGAAUUUGCUGUCGAAAGUUUGAAAGUCUUGUAUAAUAAAUAUAGAUCUAAGGAACUGGAACGACUAGAAAUUGUUACUGUCAAUCAAAAAAAGGAAAAUUCUGUCACAAAAUAUGCAAAAGAAAAUAAAAUUAUUGUAAAUAAAUGGCCAGUUGAAAUUAAUAAAUCAGAGUUUCAUAUAGGAAUAGUUGUUUCAUUUGGUCAUUUAAUACCAUCCAAGAUCAUAAAUGCAUUUCCACUAGGUAUGUUGAAUGUACAUAGUAGUUUAUUACCAAGAUGGAGAGGAGCAGCUCCAAUAAUUCACGCGUUAAUAAAUGGAGAUUCAAAAACUGGUGUCACAAUAAUGAAAAUAAUGCCAAAAAAAUUUGAUAUAGGAGAAAUAAUAUUGCAGAAGGCAAUAGAUAUUGAUGAACAUGAAACUCUGCCAGAAUUAUAUACAAAAUUAGCAAAACUUGGUGCAAAUCUUUUAAAAGAAACGUUUGAAAAUUUAUUUGAAUUAUUAAAAUCUGCAAGACCUCAAGAUGAAGAAAAUGUAACAUAUGCACCAAAAAUAACGUCAAAAAUAUCUUUAGUUAAUUGGAAUAAAAUGUCUGCAACAAAUGUUUAUAACUUACAUCGUGCUCUUGUGGGUUUAUACCCUUUAACUACUUCAUUUCAAAACGCAAAAAUAAAGUUAUUUGAUGUUCAUAAAAUUGAAUCAGAAUCAAUAGUAACAGAACUUGAAAGAGCAGAACCAGGAACCGUGAUAUAUAGUAAAAAUAAUAAUGCAUUGAUUAUAAAGUGUAAAGAAAACACUUUUGUUUCUGCAAAGCAAAUAACUAUACAAGAUUCUUUCUUUUAUUGAAUUAAAUUAGCUUCAAGAUAUAUUCCUAGUGACAAUUUUAGAUCAAAGAUAAAAGUAUCCAUAAAUAAGUUUUAGCCUAAUUUGUUGCUUUGGCUGCUUCAAAAUUAUACGAAGUGAUCGCAGUCCGCACAAUGCCACGAAUAGCCUCUUCUUUUGGGUGAUUUUUUAACUGGUGGAUCAAGACAGGUGAAGUGGUAGCAUUUUUUACAUUCAUCACACCUGAGAUACGAAAAAUGAUGAAUUCAUAUAUCCAGCAUAUAUUUAAGAAAUAAAUAUUUGAUAUAUUUAUGUAAACUAACAUGACGAGAUUUUGACUGGUACCAGACAUAUCACAGACAUUGCAAUGUGUUAAAAGGAACAGUAUUUGAAGGUAAAGGUGGAACAGGUGGUGGUGGUGGGAGUUUAGGUAAUGGCGGUGGUGAUGUAAUUUCAGUACUAGUAGAUGUGGCAACAAACAUUUGUGGACUUGAUUCUGAUGCUACAUCUCCUUCUGGUCUUGGAAUUGGUUUUAUCUAUUUAAUAAAAUAAUUAUAAGGUGUGUCAGGCGCGGUUGCAUUCGUUAUACUAUUAAGAUUGGCGGAAGAAUUUUUGGAUGUACUAGGCGUUGUUGGCGUUGUAGGUAAUUGUACUUCUUGUGGUGGUGUUGGUGUUGAUGUUAAAUUCAAAUCAUC
Bombus pyrosoma is the source of this 1852-nucleotide RNA transcript. It is a transcript of the gene named methionyl-tRNA formyltransferase, mitochondrial, with no coding region annotated. NCBI's taxonomy places the organism in Eukaryota, Metazoa, Arthropoda, Insecta, Hymenoptera, Apidae. The record is from RefSeq and is a predicted model, not a curated record. The transcript has 10 exons.